Molecule: long non-coding RNA, 415 nt
Filed under: Fukomys damarensis (Damara mole-rat)
Lineage: Eukaryota; Metazoa; Chordata; Mammalia; Rodentia; Bathyergidae
Description: lncRNA (ENSFDAG00000033444.1)
Source: RNAcentral
CAAAUACUUUGAGUUCUUGGAAGCCACUGCCAACUGUGCCUGCUGGAAGUUAAAUUUUCAAUAGCUUGGCAUGAUUGAUGCAGGCAUUAGUCAUUAAAAAAAAAACAAAAACAAAACUUGAACUAAGUAAUUUGCAUCCAAAGGAUGACAUCAGUUAACACCAUGAGCUUGUGGUUUUAGAAAAUAACCACUAGAUGGCGCGCGUGCAAUUCAAAAAUUAAAGGAAACCUCCGUCAGUAAGGUACAAGCGCUUUACCAAAGAAUCCAUUGUACUUGCAAACCUGAGUCUACGCAAGCAAGAAGGAACCACUUGCCCCGAAGGUGUGUCAACAAGAUGAAGCACAGAAGAGUCUAUUCAUGGCUAGGGUGUCCUGGCUGCAGCCCCAGAACCUAAGAACCCGGAGCUCUAUUCCCA